This is a non-coding RNA of Ictidomys tridecemlineatus (thirteen-lined ground squirrel), 71 nucleotides long. NCBI's taxonomy places the organism in Eukaryota, Metazoa, Chordata, Mammalia, Rodentia, Sciuridae. The record is from Rfam.
GGGGUUGUGGUUCAGUGGUAAAGCGCUCACCUUGCAUGUGCAGGGCCCUGGGUUCAAUCCUCAGCACCCCA